UGGGGAAUAUUGCACAAUGGGCGCAAGCCUGAUGCAGCCAUGCCGCGUGUGUGAAGAAGGCCUUCGGGUUGUAAAGCACUUUCAGCGGGGAGGAAGGCGUUAAGGUUAAUAACCUUGGCGAUUGACGUUACCCGCAGAAGAAGCACCGGCUAACUCCGUGCCAGCAGCCGCGGUAAUACGGAGGGUGCAAGCGUUAAUCGGAAUUACUGGGCGUAAAGCGCACGCAGGCGGUCUGUCAAGUCGGAUGUGAAAUCCCCGGGCUCAACCUGGGAACUGCAUUCGAAACUGGCAGGCUAGAGUCUUGUAGAGGGGGGUAGAAUUCCAGGUGUAGCGGUGAAAUGCGUAGAGAUCUGGAGGAAUACCGGUGGCGAAGGCGGCCCCCUGGACAAAGACUGACGCUCAGGUGCGAAAGCGUGGGGAGUAAACAGG
This 429-nucleotide ribosomal RNA is filed under the name Chloroflexota bacterium. RNAcentral describes it as "Chloroflexi bacterium partial 16S ribosomal RNA". It matches the Rfam family "Bacterial small subunit ribosomal RNA", at positions 355 to 776 of the family's 1533-position model. Lineage: Bacteria; Bacillati; Chloroflexota. The record is from RNAcentral.